This is a long non-coding RNA of Onychostoma macrolepis, 317 nucleotides long. RefSeq lists it as uncharacterized. The transcript is spliced from 3 exons. Lineage: Eukaryota; Metazoa; Chordata; Actinopteri; Cypriniformes; Cyprinidae. The record is from RefSeq and is a predicted model, not a curated record.
UGACAAUUUUCCAGCGGUGGAUGUGAUGUGGAGUGAGUGGAUGGUCUCAUUCUGUUUGUGACGGUCUGUGCUGAGUUUUACAGAAUUACACAAACCAACCUGAAGAGUACCUUUUUCUCUUCUUUGGAUGAAUACACGUUAAAGAUGAUCAUGUUGUACCGAUCACUUGGUGGUGUCUAUGGAGCUGAAAUGAAGACCCUCCUAGACCAACUUGAUAAUCAAGCUUCUGAUGUGCUUGCUCAAAGAAAGGCUACAGCUCUCAAAGGUCUACCUUUGUUUAUGAGGGAAAAGUCUGGAAACUUCCUGAAGACUUACCU